UUCCAGACUCCUACGGGAGGCAGCAGUGGGGAAUAUUGCACAAUGGGGGAAACCCUGAUGCAGCGACGCCGCGUGAGCGAUGAAGUAUUUCGGUAUGUAAAGCUCUAUCAGCAGGGAAGAAGAUGACGGUACCUGACUAAGAAGCCCCGGCUAACUACGUGCCAGCAGCCGCGGUAAUACGUAGGGGGCGAGCGUUAUCCGGAUUCACUGGGUGUAAAGGGAGCGUAGACGGCCAAGCAAGCCAGGGGUGAAAGCCCGGGGCCCAACCCCGGGACUGCCCUUGGAACUGCUUGGCUGGAGUGCGGGAGGGGCAGGCGGAAUUCCUGGUGUAGCGGUGAAAUGCGUAGAUAUCAGGAGGAACACCGGCGGCGAAGGCGGCCUGCUGGACUGCAACUGACGUUGAGGCCCGAAAGCGUGGGGAGCAAACAGGAUUAGAUACCCCUGUA
Molecule: ribosomal RNA, 446 nt
Filed under: uncultured bacterium
Lineage: Bacteria
Description: partial 16S ribosomal RNA
Rfam family: Bacterial small subunit ribosomal RNA
Source: RNAcentral